UUUGCUCAUAAACCCAUCAAUUUUUUCUCUCAAUCAGAUAUCGAAGUUCUCCGCUAAGCUGACCAGUGACCACUGAAUCAGUUACCAAAGCAGCUGAAAUCUCAGCGCCUCGGCAAAGGAAAGAGAGUGAAAUGACGGGAGAAGAAGCGGCGGGUCCGCCCGGACCUAAGGUCCUGCGCCUCCUCAUUUUCGUCGGCGCCGGAUUUCUUUUUACCAUUGGAAUUAACAAAUGGCGAGAGAUAGAGCAAAAACAGGCUCAACAACAACAACGAAUUCAUCAGCAACCGAAAAUUUUAAGCUCCGCCGAUGCUGCUACUAAACCCAUCGAAUAAUCUCAGGUUCUUUCAAAUGUCUACAUCUGAAAGCAACGCAUGAAAAAUGGUAUAGACUUUAGAUAGCUUGCAUUUUGUGGAAACUGUGAAUCAGCAGCAGCAAGUUUCAACUAGAGGUGAUAAUUAUUCUGGUUUGGGUUCAAGUUGAAUUUAGGCUGUUUCAGGGUUCUUUAUUUUUCUGGAUUUGAUUUAUUUUGUAUUCAGGUUCUUUCGGGCCGGAUCCUUUCGGGUUCUGUUUCCGAGUGGCAAGUUCUAAGCAUCAGUAAUUAACUAAUUACUACAUUUGUUGUAGAUAGUCAAUUCUUUGGAUUUGGUUGCAAACUGCCAUUGAGAUAAUGAGCAGAUGUCUAUCAAAUAACGGGGCCUGUUCGGUGAGAUAUUGGGUUUGGGUUAGACCUAUAACUGGACCAAGUAGCCUCCCUAGUCACCAAACCUGGAUCAUUUCAAACUAGGCUUUGUCAAUGAUUUCCAAGUCUUACCUGACCCAAAAAUAUAUUUUAAUUAUUUCAA
Molecule: long non-coding RNA, 842 nt
Organism: Gossypium raimondii (Peruvian cotton)
Lineage: Eukaryota; Viridiplantae; Streptophyta; Magnoliopsida; Malvales; Malvaceae
Exons: 3
Source: RefSeq, a predicted model, not a curated record